CCGGCGAUGUCCGAAUGGGGAAACCCAGUGCAAUUCGUUGCACUAUCGUUAACUGAAUACAUAGGUUAACGAGGCGAACCGGGGGAACUGAAACAUCUAAGUACCCCGAGGAAAAGAAAUCAACCGAGAUUCCCCCAGUAGCGGCGAGCGAACGGGGAGCAGCCCAGAGUCUGAAUCAGCUUGUGUGUUAGUGGAACGGUCUGGAAAGUCCGACGGUACAGGGUGAUAGUCCCGUACACCAAAAUGCACAGGCUGUGAACUCGAAGAGUAGGGCGGGACACGUGGUAUCCUGUCUGAAUAUGGGGGGACCAUCCUCCAAGGCUAAAUACUCCUGACUGACCGAUAGUGAACCAGUACCGUGAGGGAAAGGCGAAAAGAACCCCGGCGAGGGGAGUGAAAAAGAACCUGAAACCGUGUACGUACAAGCAGUGGGAGCACCUUCGGGUGUGACUGCGUACCUUUUGUAUAAUGGGUCAGCGACUUAUAUUCUGUAGCAAGGUUAACCGUAUAGGGGAGCCGCAGGGAAACCGAGUCUUAACUGGGCGUUAAGUUGCAGGGUAUAGACCCGAAACCCGGUGAUCUAGCCAUGGGCAGGUUGAAGGUUGGGUAACACUAACUGGAGGACCGAACCGACUAAUGUUGAAAAAUUAGCGGAUGACUUGUGGCUGGGGGUGAAAGGCCAAUCAAACCGGGAGAUAGCUGGUUCUCCCCGAAAGCUAUUUAGGUAGCGCCUCGUGAACUCAUCUUCGGGGGUAGAGCACUGUUUCGGCUAGGGGGUCAUCCCGACUUACCAACCCGAUGCAAACUACGAAUACCGAAGAAUGUUAUCACGGGAGACACACGGCGGGUGCUAACGUCCGUCGUGAAGAGGGAAACAACCCAGACCGCCAGCUAAGGUCCCAAAGUCAUGGUUAAGUGGGAAACGAUGUGGGAAGGCACAGACAGCCAGGAUGUUGGCUUAGAAGCAGCCAUCAUUUAAAGAAAGCGUAAUAGCUCACUGGUCGAGUCGGCCUGCGCGGAAGAUGUAACGGGGCUAAACCAUGCACCGAAGCUGCGGCAGCGACACUAUGUGUUGUUGGGUAGGGGAGCGUUCUGUAAGCCUGCGAAGGUGUGCUGUGAGGCAUGCUGGAGGUAUCAGAAGUGCGAAUGCUGACAUAAGUAACGAUAAAGCGGGUGAAAAGCCCGCUCGCCGGAAGACCAAGGGUUCCUGUCCAACGUUAAUCGGGGCAGGGUGAGUCGACCCCUAAGGCGAGGCCGAAAGGCGUAGUCGAUGGGAAACAGGUUAAUAUUCCUGUACUUGGUGUUACUGCGAAGGGGGGACGGAGAAGGCUAUGUUAGCCGGGCGACGGUUGUCCCGGUUUAAGCAUGUAGGCUGGUUGUCCAGGCAAAUCCGGAUAAUCAAGGCUGAGGUGUGAUGACGAGGCACUACGGUGCUGAAGUAACAAAUGCCCUGCUUCCAGGAAAAGCCUCUAAGCAUCAGGUAACAUCAAAUCGUACCCCAAACCGACACAGGUGGUCAGGUAGAGAAUACCAAGGCGCUUGAGAGAACUCGGGUGAAGGAACUAGGCAAAAUGGUGCCGUAACUUCGGGAGAAGGCACGCUGGUGUGUAGGUGAAGCCCCUGCGGGUGGAGCUGAGACCAGUCGAAGAUACCAGCUGGCUGCAACUGUUUAUUAAAAACACAGCACUGUGCAAACACGAAAGUGGACGUAUACGGUGUGACGCCUGCCCGGUGCCGGAAGGUUAAUUGAUGGGGUUAUCCGUAAGGAGAAGCUCUUGAUCGAAGCCCCGGUAAACGGCGGCCGUAACUAUAACGGUCCUAAGGUAGCGAAAUUCCUUGUCGGGUAAGUUCCGACCUGCACGAAUGGCGUAAUGAUGGCCAGGCUGUCUCCACCCGAGACUCAGUGAAAUUGAACUCGCUGUGAAGAUGCAGUGUACCCGCGGCAAGACGGAAAGACCCCGUGAACCUUUACUAUAGCUUGACACUGAACAUUGAGCCUUGAUGUGUAGGAUAGGUGGGAGGCUUUGAAGCGUGGACGCCAGUCUGCGUGGAGCCAACCUUGAAAUACCACCCUUUAAUGUUUGAUGUUCUAACGUUGGCCCCUUACCGGGGUUGCGGACAGUGUCUGGUGGGUAGUUUGACUGGGGCGGUCUCCUCCCAAAGCGUAACGGAGGAGCACGAAGGUUAGCUAAUCCUGGUCGGACAUCAGGAGGUUAGUGCAAUGGCAUAAGCUAGCUUGACUGCGAGCGUGACGGCGCGAGCAGGUGCGAAAGCAGGUCAUAGUGAUCCGGUGGUUCUGAAUGGAAGGGCCAUCGCUCAACGGAUAAAAGGUACUCCGGGGAUAACAGGCUGAUACCGCCCAAGAGUUCAUAUCGACGGCGGUGUUUGGCACCUCGAUGUCGGCUCAUCACAUCCUGGGGCUGAAGUAGGUCCCAAGGGUAUGGCUGUUCGCCAUUUAAAGUGGUACGCGAGCUGGGUUUAGAACGUCGUGAGACAGUUCGGUCCCUAUCUGCCGUGGGCGCUGGAGAAUUGAGGGGGGCUGCUCCUAGUACGAGAGGACCGGAGUGGACGCAUCACUGGUGUUCGGGUUGUCAUGCCAAUGGCACUGCCCGGUAGCUAAAUGCGGAAGAGAUAAGUGCUGAAAGCAUCUAAGCACGAAACUUGCCCCGAGAUGAGUUCUCCCUGAGACUUUAAGUCUCCUGAAGGAACGUUAAAGACGAUGACGUUGAUAGGCCGGGUGUGUAAGCGCAGCGAUGCGUUGAGCUAACCGGUACUAAUGAACCGUGAGGCUUAACCUUACAACGCCGAAG
Molecule: ribosomal RNA, 2810 nt
Filed under: Klebsiella pneumoniae
Lineage: Bacteria; Pseudomonadati; Pseudomonadota; Gammaproteobacteria; Enterobacterales; Enterobacteriaceae
Description: partial 23S ribosomal RNA
Rfam family: Bacterial large subunit ribosomal RNA
Source: RNAcentral